CCUCUAUGCUGUGUAGGGUCCCGGAGUGGCCGGCAGGGGGCGCGCGCCAUCGGGGACUCGAGACGGGCAGUGGGGCUACCGGGAGGUUCGCGCGCAAGACCUGGACCAGGUCUAGGGUUAGGGAGCGAGGAUCUCGAGCGGGGUGGGGAGUGGGGGAAAUCUGUGGACAGCCCACUCGGUCCUGAGCACUGUAUCGGUAGUAGCCCAGCCUUGUGAAGAGCCUUCUGGGGAGGAGAGGAGGCUCCAGCUGAGACCUCAGGGCUGGGGAAACGGGAUGCUUGGUGUGGCAAGGAGAUCGGCAUUCAGAAUAGUCGGGAGCCCUAAGGAGUCCUCCUCGUCGCCCGAACCCCGCAGGGACCCGCUCAGCGAGGAGAAGAGGUGGCAGGUCCUCUCAGAGCCUUCUCGGGCCGGGCACGUGUCGGUGCUUUGCAGGUUUAUCUCGCGGGAUUGCACAUGGCGUCUCCAUUCCACAGGGGAGGCCCGGCAGCUGGGGGCCCUGCGCCGUCCCGGGGCCGGGGUGUGGGGCGGGGCGGCAUACAUUCUCCGCCUCCCUCAUCCUCUUCAGCUCUGCAGAAACGAGGAAGAAAAGCGAUUUCCUAGGCGUGUCGUCCUUUGUAAGAAUGAACCCCAGAGGGCGCCGGUCCGGCCCAGCUGCUUUACAAGUCCGGAGGGCAGAGGGCAAUGGUCCCAGUGGAAAAUGGUGAUAAAUGGACCCAAACAAAAGCCCCAUGCUGAGGACUGAAGAGUUGCCCCAUCAAAUUUUAACCAUUCAACUCAUAAGAUGGGGCCCAGAGGGAGGCAGAGAAAUCCUCACAGGGAAGAUAGUGAUCAUAGAGACCCUGAAGGUGAGUAGAAGCUCAAUGGAGAAAGACAGGGUGGUGUCACAUGCAGAGGAAAUAAUUGCAGGAUAGUUUAUCCAUAUUUUUAUUACUUUCUAUGUUUUCUCUCCUGCUGACUGUUGCUUCAUAUCCAAUCCCUGAUGGCUAUUUUUGGGGAUAUAAGCCUGUGAUAAACUUUAUUUGAGAUUUUUCUAUAUGAUCUAUCAAUAGAAUACAUAUUUUUUCAAAAAAGAUUUUUGUAUUUCAUGUAUAGCAUAUAAAGAUGCUUAAAACUCAAUGUCCAAUCUAUCAUUUCAUUUCCACUUUAUUUUAAUGUUUUAUAUUAGCAAGUCCUUUGCCCAACAGAAAUCUUUUAUAUUUUGAUUUAAUUCUUAACUCUGUUAGGAAUUUAUUUUGAUAGGUAUAUGGGAUAAGAACUUCUUAUCUUUUUGGUUACAAAUUGCAAGUCAUUUUCCUAACGUAAAAUAGCCCAUAUCCCAUUUUUUUUCUAAUGGAUCCUUUAACAUAUACUAAGUUCUUACAUACAUUAAAGUCUACUCUGCUCAUUAUUUUAUUCUAUUAAAAUCUGCUAGAGCAAGGGAAGGGUCUUUAAGUCUGAAGAGCCAGCAUGAAACCUGGAGCAUAGGAGGUACAUAAGACAUAUUUAUUGAAUAAUGUGUUAAUAUGCUUGUUCUUGAUGACAAGACUUCACAAAGAAGGCUCAAAUAAUGGAGCCUGUUCUGUGAUUCUAAGAUAGUAAGUCCAUGGAUAUGUUCUCCUUUGCUCCAGUCCUACAGAAAUGACCCAUCAUGAACAGAAGCAGAUUUACUUUCUCAUUCCUGGGCCAUCUGUCUUUCCUAAAGUGGUUCAUAGAAGGUGAAGGCUGGGAGAUCUCAGCUGAGCUCCUGGCUUAUGCUGGAGGGA
Molecule: long non-coding RNA, 1742 nt
Organism: Bos indicus x Bos taurus (hybrid cattle)
Lineage: Eukaryota; Metazoa; Chordata; Mammalia; Artiodactyla; Bovidae
Source: Ensembl